UGGUCCUACGGGGCGCAGCAGUGGGGGAUAUUGCACAAUGGGGGGAACCCUGAUGCAGCGACGCCGCGUGGGCGAUGGAGUGCUUCGGUAUGUAAAGCUCUCUCAGCAGGGAAGAUAAUGACGGUACCUGACUAAGAAGCCCCGGCUAACUACGUGCCAGCAGCCGCGGUAAUACGUAGGGGGCAAGCGUUAUCCGGAUUUACUGGGUGUAAAGGGAGCGUAGGUGGCAGGGCAAGUCAGAUGUGAAAACCCGGGGCUCAACUCCGGGAGUGCAUUUGAAACUGUCCAGCUAGAGUGCAGGAGAG
Molecule: ribosomal RNA, 305 nt
Filed under: uncultured bacterium
Lineage: Bacteria
Description: bacterial SSU rRNA
Rfam family: Bacterial small subunit ribosomal RNA
Source: RNAcentral